RNAcentral lists this ribosomal RNA (466 nucleotides) under uncultured bacterium. RNAcentral's name for it is "partial 16S ribosomal RNA". It matches the Rfam family "Bacterial small subunit ribosomal RNA", at positions 28 to 507 of the family's 1533-position model. The record is from RNAcentral.
GACGAACGCUGGCGGCGUGCUUAACACAUGCAAGUCGAACGGAAAGGCCCUGCUUGCAGGGUACUCGAGUGGCGAACGGGUGAGUAACACGUGGGCGAUCUGCCCUGCACUUCGGGAUAAGCUUGGGAAACUGGGUCUAAUACCGGAUAGGAGCCAUCUUUAGUGUGGUGGUUGGAAAGUUUUUUCGGUGUAGGAUGAGCUCGCGGCCUAUCAGCUUGUUGGUGGGGUAAUGGCCUACCAAGGCGGCGACGGGUAGCCGGCCUGAGAGGGUGUACGGCCACAUUGGGACUGAGAUACGGCCCAGACUCCUACGGGAGGCAGCAGUGGGGAAUAUUGCACAAUGGGCGCAAGCCUGAUGCAGCGACGCCGCGUGGGGGAUGAAGGCCUUCGGGUUGUAAACUCCUUUCGCUAGGGACGAAGCUUUUUUGUGACGGUACCUAGAUAAGAAGCACCGGCUAACUACGUG